Molecule: transfer RNA, 71 nt
Filed under: Polyangiaceae bacterium
Lineage: Bacteria; Pseudomonadati; Myxococcota; Polyangiales; Polyangiaceae
Description: tRNA-Asp
Rfam family: tRNA
About the family: Transfer RNA (tRNA) molecules are approximately 80 nucleotides in length.
Source: RNAcentral
GCGCCCGUAUGCAACUGGUACGCAGCUUGAUUGUCGAUCAAGUGAUGGGAGUUCAAAUCUCCUCGGGUGCG